This 481-nucleotide ribosomal RNA is filed under the name uncultured bacterium. RNAcentral describes it as "bacterial SSU rRNA". It matches the Rfam family "Bacterial small subunit ribosomal RNA", at positions 8 to 507 of the family's 1533-position model. The record is from RNAcentral.
AGAGUUUGAUCAUGGCUCAGGACGAACGCUGGUGGCGUGCUUAACACAUGCAAGUCGAACGGUAAGGCCCUUCGGGGUACACGAGUGGCGAACGGGUGAGUAACACGUGGGUGAUCUGCCCUGCACUUCGGGAUAAGCCUGGGAAACUGGGUCUAAUACCGGAUAGGACUCCUGGCUUCAUGGUUGGGGGUGUAAAGCUUUUGCGGUGUGGGAUGGGCCCGCGGCCUAUCAGCUUGUUGGUGGGGUAAUGGCCUACCAAGGCGACGACGGGUAGCCGGCCUGAGAGGGUGACCGGCCACACUGGGACUGAGAUACGGCCCAGACUCCUACGGGAGGCAGCAGUGGGGAAUAUUGCACAAUGGCGCAAGCCUGAUGCAGCGACGCCGCGUGAGGGAUGACGGCCUUCGGGUUGUAAACCUCUUUCAAUAGGGACGAAGCGCAAGUGACGGUACCUAUAGAAGAAGGACCGGCCAACUACGUG